AUGGCCAUCCAGUCUCUACAUAAUGAUGAUGAUGAUGAUGACAAUAAUAAUAAUAGAAGCAUAGAAUCCAAGAGUUUGGAGAGACCCCUAAGGGCCAUCCAGCCCAACCCUUUCUACUAUGCAGCAGGACACAAUCCAAGCAUUCACAACACAUGGACAACAUAUAAAUACUAUACAAUACUACACAGGGACAUAGACCCCCCUCUACCCUCACCACUUUCACAAAACAACAAAACUACACAUCCCAGAAACACUAAACUUGGCAGUACAACCCCUCAUCCAUGCCUCUACGUUCAUACAACAAAAAGAAAAGAAAAAUAAAGUCUAAUUAGGAGGGAGAGGAAUAAUUGUUUUUAUCCAAUUGCUGCCAGUUAGAAGACUAAGCUCCGCCCACUUGGUCUCCUAGCAACCCACUCAGCCAGGGGACAGGCAGAGUUAGGCCUCACUUAGGCCUCUUCCACACUGCCUAUAAAAUACAGAUUAUCAGAUUUUAACUGGAUUAUAUGGCAGUGUAGACUCAAGGUCCUUCCACACAGCUAUAUAACCCAUUUAUAAUCUUAUAUUAUCUGCUUUGAACUGGAUUAUCUUGACUCCACACUGCCAUAUAAUCCACUUCAGUGUACAUUUUAUACAACUGUGUAGAAGGGGCCUCAUAUAAUCCUGUUCUAAGCAGAUAAUAUAAGAUUAUCAAUAUACAGUAGAGUCUCACUUGUCCAACAUAAACAGACCGGCAGAACAUUGGAUAAGUAAAUAUGUUGGAUAAUAAGGAUUCAGGAAAAGCCGAUUAAACAUCAAAUUAGGUAAUCAUUAUACAAAUUAAGCACCAAAACAUCAUGUUAUACAACAAAUUUGACAGAAAAAGUAGUUCCAUGCGCAGUAAUGCUAUGUAGUAAUUACUGUAUUUACAAAUUUACCACCAAAAUAUCACAAUGAAUUUAAAACACUGACUACAAAAACAUUGACUACUAAAAGGCAGACUGAGUUGGAUAAUCCAGAACAUUGGAUAAGCACAUGUUGGAUAAGUGAGAUUCUACUGUAAUACGAAAUAAUUACUGUGGUAGAAUAAUACAGAACAAUAUAAUCUCUAAAACAAGGACAGUAAAUAAAAAGCAACACUCUGAAACCAGGGAAAUUGGGAAUUCCACAAAGGAAACAAUUAGGGCCAGCUAACACCUCCCAAGAAAGGAUUCUUACAGAAAGGAAGCUGAGAAGGAAGUGAAGCAGUGUGUAUUACUGAAGUCAUUAUUAUUACUAUCAUUACUAUUAUUACUAUUAUUGUGUUACUGUGAACUGUGAAAAUGAAUACAAUCUGGCUCCAAAUAUUCAAAAAAUCUAAAAUCAGAAUAUAUAAAUAUAAUAAAUAUAAUAAAACAGAACAAUACAAUCUGUAAAAUCAGAACACUAAAUAAAGGACAACACUCUGAAAACAGGCGAAUUCCAGACAGGAAACAAUCAGGGCCAGCUAACACCUCCCAACAAAGUAUUCCCAUCACCAAAGUCUGGCAAAUUCUGUUUUCUCGUGGCCACAGACUUUUUUUUUUUACUGUGUUUGCUCAACCACUGCAUAUGGGCACUUCUUCAUCUACACAGACAGUAGAAGCACAUAAAAUAUUGCAAAGAACACCACUCUGAAAACAAGGGAAUUCCAGACAGGAAACAAUCAGGGCCAGCUAACACCUCCCAACAAAAAAUUCACUCAGGGAGGAAGCAGCCAGGCUUUAAAGCUGCAAGGCCAUUACAUGCUAAUCAUUUUGCCUAAUUGCAGAGUCAUACUUCCCUCCAACAGACAAAAAAACCCAAUCAGAAAUAUUGUAUAUUCACAACCUUUAGGAAAUAGUAUCCCCUGAUGGCGCAGCGUGUUAAAGCGCUGAGCUGCUGAACUUCUGGACUGAAAGGUCUCAGGUUUGAAUUGGAGGAGCGGAGAGAGCCCCCACUGUUAGCCCCAGCUUCUGCCAAUCCUAAAGUUCAAAAACAUGCAAAUGAGAGUAGAUGAAUAGGUACUGCUCUGGCGGAAAGGUAAUAGCGCUCCAUGCAGUCAUGCCACAUGACCUUGGAGGAGUCUACGGACAAUGCCGGCUCUUCGGCUUAGAAAUGGAGAUGAGCCCCAACCCCCAGAAUCAAACACGACUUGACUUAAUAUCAGGGGAAAACCUUUACCCUUUACCUUAACUACCACCAAUUCCUCAAUACUUUAUUUCCCAUACCACCGGGCACAGCUAGUGUGUGUGUGUGUGUGUGUGUGUGUGUGUGUGUGUGUGUAUAUAUAUAUGACUUUUAAGUUUCCACUGAAGAAGUUAAAAGCAGAAACUUCCCAUAUUCAUAGCUUGAACAACUUUUAUAUCCCAAUAUCAAAUUUGUCUAAUUCUUCUUUGUUAGGAACCGUUUUAACCUUUUCUUUUUUUUCUGAUUGUUUUUUGAACAAUGUGUUUGCUGUUUCUGCCUGUCUUUCCAGAAAUACCUAACACUGCCAUGAUGAUAAUUUCUGCACAUACGUAUAAUUUUAAAUGAAGAUAAUGAAAAAUUAGUUGCUCAAAACCUACUUAAAGGAAAUGAAUUGCUGAAUAUCAGUAGUACUAGAGAACAGAGCUAAUAAGCCUUUGAAAGGAAAAUAUAUAUUAUGUAUUAAUAUAAUUUUCCUAAAUUAUAUUAGGUUUCAUUCAUUGAUUUAUCAAAUAGCUCCACCUAAUGGGAUUAACAAGAAUAUACCCACCAAGAAGGCUGUUUGCUUAUGACCAUAUUUAGAUCUAGUCCAUGCAUUGCAUAUAAAUCUGAUUUAUGCUGUAGGGAUGUAUAAAGAUGAAGUCAGACUUGUCACUAACCAUAGUGCUCCCUUGCCAGUGAUGACACUGACCCAUUUAUUUAAGGUUUACAUUUUAUCAAAAUGGGCACAAACAGUAGAAAUUGAUUAUCUGUCAUUAAAUUCAGUAAAUGAAUGGCAGAAACUAGAAUCUAGGUAAGAGCAAUAAGCUAGUGUUUUCUGACCCAAGCUCCUUGAUGCAAAAAUAAACAAGGAAAGCAAAAUACAGCUUUACUGAUACUUGGAAAGAGGACAACAGCCAAAAGCUACUAUUUUCCCCCUUUUAUCUCAUUUUACCUCAGAGAAAAUGAGGCCCCAUCUAUGCUGCCAUAUAAUCCAGAUUAUCAAAGCAGAUAUUCCACAUUAUGUUCUUUGAACUGAAUUAUAUGAGUCUAUACUGCCAGAUAAUCCAAUUCAGGACAGAUAAUCUGGAGUUUAUAUAUCAGUAUAGAAGGGGCUUCACAGGAAAGAGGGAGAGGAAGGUGCAAUAUCUUGCCCUUCCCAGUUUGCUCAAGCAAAAGCAAACUGCUGCAGUUUUCCUAGAUUGUGUCCCUCUUCAUAUAUCACUCUUGCUGUCUUUGACCAUUCUUUUACGUUGUUUGACCACACAUUUCCCAGUUUUCAUCUAUGAAACACUGGCAUGAACAAGGAAGUGACUCAAAAGUUGACCCCUAGUCACCUUUUGUUGGAAAAAGAGGCUUCUUCUGGACCUAAAAUGGGUCAAAACUGUGCUGAAGAUGCUCUCAUGCUCUCUAGGUGGCACUGGGAGAAUUUGGGUACAAAGUCAGAGGAUUAACUCCUCCCCCCCCCCUCCAGUCCCAUGGAGCAAAUGUGGCUGCCCACGUCUAACAAUUGACCACCUUGGAAUUAUGGUAAAUAUUUUCAUUUUAAUAAGCCAUGGCAUAAUUUUCUAAGCAACAACAGAU
Molecule: long non-coding RNA, 3723 nt
Organism: Anolis carolinensis (green anole)
Lineage: Eukaryota; Metazoa; Chordata; Lepidosauria; Squamata; Anolidae
Source: Ensembl